This 938-nucleotide ribosomal RNA is filed under the name uncultured bacterium. Its description in RNAcentral is "bacterial SSU rRNA". It matches the Rfam family "Bacterial small subunit ribosomal RNA", at positions 26 to 965 of the family's 1533-position model. The record is from RNAcentral.
AGGAUGAACGCUGGCGGCGUGCUUAACACAUGCAAGUCGAGCGAGAAAUUCUAGACAGAUUCUUCGGAUGAAAUCUAGAAUGGAAAGCGGCGGACGGGUGAGUAACGCGUAGGCAACCUACCUCAUACAAAGGGAUAGCUUCUGGAAACGGAAAUUAAUACCUUAUGACACCUUCGGUUCACAUGGACAGAAGGUCAAAGAUUUAUCGGUAUGAGAUGGGUCUGCGUCUGAUUAGCUAGUUGGUAGGGUAACGGCCUACCAAGGCGACGAUCAGUAGCCGACCUGAGAGGGUGAUCGGCCACACUGGAACUGAGACACGGUCCAGACUCCUACGGGAGGCAGCAGUGGGGAAUAUUGCACAAUGGGCGCAAGCCUGAUGCAGCAACGCCGCGUGAGUGAUGAAGGCCUUAGGGUCGUAAAACUCUGUCCUAGGGGAAGAAUAAAUGACGGUACCCUAGGAGGAAGCCCCGGCUAACUACGUGCCAGCAGCCGCGGUAAUACGUAGGGGGCAAGCGUUAUCCGGAAUUAUUGGGCGUAAAGAGUACGUAGGUGGUUUUACAAGCCUUGGGUGAAAGGCUAUGGCUCAACCAUAGUAAGCCUAAGGAACUGUAAGACUUGAGUGCAGGAGAGGUAAGUGGAAUUCCUAGUGUAGCGGUGAAAUGCGUAGAUAUUAGGAGGAACACCAGUGGCGAAGGCGACUUACUGGACUGUUACUGACACUGAGGUACGAAAGCGUGGGGAGCAAACAGGAUUAGAUACCCUGGUAGUCCACGCCGUAAACGAUGAGCACUAGGUGUCGGGGUCGCGAGGCCUCGGUGCCGCAGCUAACGCAUUAAGUGCUCCGCCUGGGGAGUACGCACGCAAGUGUAAAACUCAAAGGAAUUGACGGGGACCCGCACAAGCAGCGGAGCAUGUGGUUUAAUUCGAAGCAACGCGAA